ACAGUCACUGACAUUAGAUACCCGUGUAGUCCAGGGUGUAAACGCUGCAGACUUGGUGUUGGAAGCCCUUUGGGGGCAUUCAGUGCCGGAGAGAAGUUGUUAAGUCUGCUGCUUGGGGAGUACGUCCGCAAGGAUGAAACUUAAAGGAAUUGGCGGGGGAGCACCGCAACGGGAGGAGCGUGCGGUUUAAUUGGAUUCAACACCGUAAAACUCACCAGGGAAGACUGUUACAUGAAGGCCGAGAUGAAGACUCUGCUAGAUUUUCAG
Molecule: ribosomal RNA, 267 nt
Filed under: uncultured archaeon
Lineage: Archaea
Description: partial 16S ribosomal RNA
Rfam family: Archaeal small subunit ribosomal RNA
Source: RNAcentral